Molecule: ribosomal RNA, 497 nt
Filed under: uncultured bacterium
Lineage: Bacteria
Description: partial 16S ribosomal RNA
Rfam family: Bacterial small subunit ribosomal RNA
Source: RNAcentral
GAUGAACGCUGGCGGCGUGCCUAAUACAUGCAAGUCGAGCGAACGGACGAGAAGCUUGCUUCUCUGAUGUUAGCGGCGGACGGGUGAGUAACACGUGGAUACCCUACCUAUAAGACUGGGAUAACUUCGGGAAACCGGAGCUAAUACCGGAUGAUCUUUUGAACCGCAUGGUUCAAAAGUGAAAGACGGUCUUGCUGUCACUUAUAGAUGGAUCCGCGCUGCUUUAGCUAGUUGGUACGGUAACGGCUUACCAAGGCAACGAUGCGUAGCCGACCUGAGAGGGUGGUCGGCCACACUGGAACUGAGACACGGUCCAGACUCCUACGGGAGGCAGCAGUAGGGAAUCUGCCGCAAUGGGCGAGAGCCUGACAGAGCAACGCCGCGGGAGUGAUGAAGGUCUUCGGAUCGUAAAACUCUGUUAUGAGGGAAGAACAUAUGUGUAAGUAACUGUGGACAUCUUGACGGUACCUAAUCAGAAAGCCACGGCUAACUACGUG